Molecule: ribosomal RNA, 439 nt
Filed under: ascomycete sp. OB2C2
Lineage: Eukaryota; Fungi; Ascomycota
Description: eukaryotic LSU rRNA
Rfam family: 5.8S ribosomal RNA (bases 134-287)
Source: RNAcentral
UUCGGUGGGCCCGUCACUACUUGUGACCGCCGAAGGGUUUAUGUUUUUAACUGACCUUUGGGCCCGUGCCUGCCGGAGAUAUUUGAACGCCUGUUAUGAAAUAGGUUGUCUGAGUUAAAAGAAAAUAAAUUAAAACUUUCAACAACGGAUCUCUUGGUUCCGGCAUCGAUGAAGAACGCAGCGAAAUGCGAUAAGUAAUGUGAAUUGCAGAAUUCCGUGAAUCAUCGAAUNNAAAAACGCACAUUGCGCCCUCUGGUAUUCUGGGGGGCAUGCCUGUCCGAGCGUCAUUGCUAAACCUCAAGCCCGGCUUGUGUGUUGGGCCUACCGUCCCUUUGGACGGUGACCCGAAAGGCAGUGGCGGCGUCGCGUCCCGGUCCUUGAAGCGGAAGAGGGCUUUGUCACCCGCUUAGAGGCCGGCCGACACNGUANCCCAUUCGUG